GAAGGGAUAAGCGCUGAAAGCAUCUAAGCAUGAAGCCCCCCUCAAGAUGAGAUUUCCCAACUUCGGUUAUAAGAUCCCUCAAAGAUGAUGAGGUUAAUAGGUUCGAGGUGGAAGCAUGGUGACAUGUGGAGCUGACGAAUACUAAUCGAUCGAAGACUUAAUCAAAUU
This 168-nucleotide ribosomal RNA is filed under the name Streptococcus pyogenes. RNAcentral describes it as "partial 23S ribosomal RNA". It matches the Rfam family "Bacterial large subunit ribosomal RNA", at positions 2758 to 2925 of the family's 2925-position model. Lineage: Bacteria; Bacillati; Bacillota; Bacilli; Lactobacillales; Streptococcaceae. The record is from RNAcentral.